AAUAAUUUAACAUUUAUGCCAUAGACAGCAGGUGCGGUUAAAGCUUAAUUUCCUGCCGAGGUAUUCGAUCAUAAUAGAACUAUUUUGUUCGGACUAUCAUCGUACCUCCAUGUCUGUCAUGAUAUGGAGGUUUUUUUACGGGUGU
Molecule: regulatory RNA element, 145 nt
Organism: Bacillus sp. FJAT-27986
Lineage: Bacteria; Bacillati; Bacillota; Bacilli; Caryophanales; Bacillaceae
Rfam family: Ribosomal protein L10 leader
About the family: This family is a putative r-protein leader autoregulatory structure found in B. subtilis and other low-GC Gram-positive bacteria. It is located in the 5' untranslated regions of mRNAs encoding ribosomal proteins L10 and L12 (rplJ-rplL).
Source: Rfam